AUAUCCCUGCUGUGUUCGUGUAUUACCGUUAAGUUUUUGCCAACACAAAAACAAAGGGAGCCUGGUCUCUGUAUGUACGCUCGUAUGCCUUUUAUUUAAAGGACACCGCAAUCAUACAGGAGGGCACCCACCUGCUGAGCAGGUUAAAACUGCGGUGUUUCACGACUCGGUGGGGUUUUU
Molecule: non-coding RNA, 180 nt
Filed under: Syntrophomonadaceae bacterium
Lineage: Bacteria; Bacillati; Bacillota; Clostridia; Eubacteriales; Syntrophomonadaceae
Description: 6S RNA
Rfam family: 6S / SsrS RNA
About the family: E. coli 6S RNA was the first non coding RNA to be sequenced, but its function was unknown until recently. It consists of 184 nucleotides that fold into an extended hairpin structure with a large single-stranded internal bulge. The 6S RNA specifically associates with RNA polymerase holoenzyme containing the sigma70 specificity factor.
Source: RNAcentral